RNAcentral lists this long non-coding RNA (795 nucleotides) under Nothobranchius furzeri (turquoise killifish). RNAcentral describes it as "lncRNA (ENSNFUG00015018515.1)". Lineage: Eukaryota; Metazoa; Chordata; Actinopteri; Cyprinodontiformes; Nothobranchiidae. The record is from RNAcentral.
AUGCUCAGAGCAAAUACAAAUAUGAGCAUGUGCACUGAAGUCCCUCUUAUGUCAUUUGGGUCAGCUGUAGAUGAUUGUGCAGGUUUUGGUUUUAACACACGUUUGCAUCUCUGCAGGAUUGUGGACGGUACUGAGGACAGCGAGGGAAGAGAGAGUUCACAGACUUUCUCUUUCCCUACCAACCUUGGUCGUCCAGUCAGUGAACCAACCAGUGCCUCGCCAUCGACUGCAGAUAUGCUGCGAAUCAGCACAACAGAAUUAGCAGCCAAAGCCGAGGAGACCAGGGGACAACUGCGACACCUCGACCAGCAGGUGAGCAUCCUCCGGAGGGAAGUGGCUGACCUUGGACAAGUCAUGAAGAGAAUGACCCAACUCAUGGAGGCCCUCGUACCACCAGUCCCACAACCACCAGUGAUCUGUCCAACCCAUGUCUCACCCGCACACCACACGUACCUGCACUGUCCCACCCCUCCUCAGUCCUAUUCUAUUUCCCCCUCUAAGACUGCUUCAAUCUGGACAGAACCACCUAUGCCGUUGCCAUCCCUCACAAUCUCUCAGCAGCUUGGUACAAUCUGCCAUGUGGAUACGCUGACACACAGACCGCAAAACCUCCUGUUAGGGUAUCCUGCCGUCCCCAGGUCAACUCCAGCUGCUGAUACGUCAGUUCUUCAAAUACAGCCAUGCUCUGCCAUCUCAGAGCCCACAACGCCUUUGUCAUCUGCCAGUUCACCAGAUUUUUCACAUUACAAAGAUGGAGCUGAUACAGAGUCCACUUCUGCAGGACAGAGGAGAUGA